AGUCCAUAAGAAAACAGGAGUGGACAGCUAUCAUACCCAACUCCCAGCUUAUCGUCAUCCCCUAUCCCCAUAACGUUCCUCGAAGCUGGAGUGCCAAGCUGUAUCUGACCCCAAGUAACAUUGUGCUGCUAACAGCUAUAGCCUUAAUUGGUGUUUGCGUUUUCAUCCUGGCAAUAAUUGGCAUAUUACACUGGCAGGAAAAGAAAGCAGAUGACAGAGAGAAGCGACAGGAGGCUCAUCGGUUCCAUUUUGAUGCUAUGUGACAUGCCUUAAUAUUUAUGAUGGAGCUGCUACUCAUUUGCUUAAUUGAAAUACUAAACUCUGAUUUGUAAAGUGAUUACCGCGAAAAUACUGCCGGUGUGCUAUUUGUAAAUGUUGCAUUAUCUGGUAUUUAUUUGGAAAGUAUUAAAAUUAGACCUGAAUGUCUCACAAGGCCUUUCAGUUAACAGACUGUAUAUAAUAGCCCUUGGUCUUUAUUUAACAGAACUGUACAUUUAUUUUUCUUAGUAAAGGGAUCAGAUUGCAUGUACCGCUGUUUACGUGCCACCAGUUCGUUAGGAAUAUUGGCUAGAAAGAAGGCUGUGUAAACCAAGUGUAGCAUUGCGGCGAGCAGAAGGCUUUGGGCCACUUGAAUUGGUAUUGUCACUUACACAUUCCCCCAAGGAACCUGCAUGUCUGAAAAUGAAGCUGGAGCAGUCCCUCCGAUGACCUGGUCACGAGUCAUUUUGAUUGUACUAAAUGGUGCUCAACC
Molecule: long non-coding RNA, 751 nt
Organism: Eurypyga helias (sunbittern)
Lineage: Eukaryota; Metazoa; Chordata; Aves; Eurypygiformes; Eurypygidae
Exons: 3
Source: RefSeq, a predicted model, not a curated record